This 882-nucleotide ribosomal RNA is filed under the name Escherichia coli. RNAcentral describes it as "partial 23S ribosomal RNA". It matches the Rfam family "Bacterial large subunit ribosomal RNA", at positions 329 to 1215 of the family's 2925-position model. The record is from RNAcentral. Lineage: Bacteria; Pseudomonadati; Pseudomonadota; Gammaproteobacteria; Enterobacterales; Enterobacteriaceae.
UUAGUGGAAGCGUCUGGAAAGGCGCGCGAUACAGGGUGACAGCCCCGUACACAAAAAUGCACAUGCUGUGAGCUCGAUGAGUAGGGCGGGACACGUGGUAUCCUGUCUGAAUAUGGGGGGACCAUCCUCCAAGGCUAAAUACUCCUGACUGACCGAUAGUGAACCAGUACCGUGAGGGAAAGGCGAAAAGAACCCCGGCGAGGGGAGUGAAAAAGAACCUGAAACCGUGUACGUACAAGCAGUGGGAGCACGCUUAGGCGUGUGACUGCGUACCUUUUGUAUAAUGGGUCAGCGACUUAUAUUCUGUAGCAAGGUUAACCGAAUAGGGGAGCCGAAGGGAAACCGAGUCUUAACUGGGCGUUAAGUUGCAGGGUAUAGACCCGAAACCCGGUGAUCUAGCCAUGGGCAGGUUGAAGGUUGGGUAACACUAACUGGAGGACCGAACCGACUAAUGUUGAAAAAUUAGCGGAUGACUUGUGGCUGGGGGUGAAAGGCCAAUCAAACCGGGAGAUAGCUGGUUCUCCCCGAAAGCUAUUUAGGUAGCGCCUCGUGAAUUCAUCUCCGGGGGUAGAGCACUGUUUCGGCAAGGGGGUCAUCCCGACUUACCAACCCGAUGCAAACUGCGAAUACCGGAGAAUGUUAUCACGGGAGACACACGGCGGGUGCUAACGUCCGUCGUGAAGAGGGAAACAACCCAGACCGCCAGCUAAGGUCCCAAAGUCAUGGUUAAGUGGGAAACGAUGUGGGAAGGCCCAGACAGCCAGGAUGUUGGCUUAGAAGCAGCCAUCAUUUAAAGAAAGCGUAAUAGCUCACUGGUCGAGUCGGCCUGCGCGGAAGAUGUAACGGGGCUAAACCAUGCACCGAAGCUGCGGCAGCGACGCU